This 254-nucleotide ribosomal RNA is filed under the name uncultured bacterium. Its description in RNAcentral is "partial 16S ribosomal RNA". It matches the Rfam family "Bacterial small subunit ribosomal RNA", at positions 524 to 776 of the family's 1533-position model. The record is from RNAcentral.
UACGUAGGGUGCAAGCGUUGUCCGGAAUUAUUGGGCGUAAAGAGCUCGUAGGCGGUUUGUCGCGUCUGCUGUGAAAACUCAGGCUUAACCCUGAGCCUGCAGUGGGUACGGGCAGACUAGAGUGUGGUAGGGGAGAUCGGAAUUCCUGGUGUAGCGGUGGAAUGCGCAGAUAUCGAGGAGGAACACCGAUGGCGAAGGCAGAUCUCUGGGACCGUAACUGACGCUGAGGAGCGAAAGCAUGGGGAGCGAACAGG